UGGGGAAUUUUGGACAAUGGGCGAAAGCCUGAUCCAGCAAUGCCGCGUGUGUGAAGAAGGCCUUCGGGUUGUAAAGCACUUUUGUCCGGAAAGAAAUCCUUGGCUCUAAUACAGUCGGGGGAUGACGGUACCGGAAGAAUAAGCACCGGCUAACUACGUGCCAGCAGCCGCGGUAAUACGUAGGGUGCAAGCGUUAAUCGGAAUUACUGGGCGUAAAGCGUGCGCAGGCGGUUUGCUAAGACCGAUGUGAAAUCCCCGGGCUCAACCUGGGAACUGCAUUGGUGACUGGCAGGCUAGAGUAUGGCAGAGGGGGGUAGAAUUCCACGUGUAGCAGUGAAAUGCGUAGAGAUGUGGAGGAAUACCGAUGGCGAAGGCAGCCCCCUGGGCCAAUACUGACGCUCAUGCACGAAAGCGUGGGGAGCAAACAGGAUUAGAUACCCUGGUAGUCCACGCCCCUAAAACGAUGUCAACUAGUUGUUGGGGGACUUCAUUUUCCUUAGUAACGUAGCUAACGCGUGAAGUUGACCGCCUGGGGAGUACGGUCGCAAGAUUAAAACUUAAAGGAAUUGACGGGGUC
This 577-nucleotide ribosomal RNA is filed under the name uncultured bacterium. Its description in RNAcentral is "partial 16S ribosomal RNA". It matches the Rfam family "Bacterial small subunit ribosomal RNA", at positions 355 to 920 of the family's 1533-position model. The record is from RNAcentral.